RNAcentral lists this ribosomal RNA (460 nucleotides) under uncultured bacterium. RNAcentral describes it as "partial 16S ribosomal RNA". It matches the Rfam family "Bacterial small subunit ribosomal RNA", at positions 338 to 795 of the family's 1533-position model. The record is from RNAcentral.
CCUACGGGGGGCUGCAGUGAGGAAUAUUGGUCAAUGGGCUUACGCCUGAACCAGCCAAGUCGCGUGAGGGAAGACUGCCCUAUGGGUUGUAAACUUCUUUUGUCAAGGAGCAACGCCGGCUACGUGUAGUCAGACUGAGAGUACCUGAAGAAAAAGCAUCGGCCAACUCCGUGCCAGCAGCCGGGGUCAUACGUGGGAUGCGAGCGUUAUCGGGGUUUAUUGGGUUUAAAGGGUGCGUAGGCGGAUGGCAAAUUCAGUGGUAAAUUCGCGGGGUUAAACCUGGCUCCGCCGUUGAAACUGGCGUUCUUGAGUGGGCAAGAGGUAUGCGGAAUGCGUGGUGUAGCGGUGAAAUGCGUAGAGAUCACGCAGAACACCGAUUGCGAAGGCAGCAUACCGGCGCCCAACUGACGCUGAAGCACGAAAGCGUGGGUAUCGAACAGGAUUAGAUACCCCUGUAGUC